This is a small nuclear RNA of Aotus nancymaae (Ma's night monkey), 106 nucleotides long. Lineage: Eukaryota; Metazoa; Chordata; Mammalia; Primates; Aotidae. The record is from Ensembl.
CUGCUCACUUCAAUAGCACAUACACUAAAUUGGAGCAAUGCACAGAAGAUUAGCAUGGCCUCUGUGCAAGUAUAAUGCACACAUUUGUGAAGUGGUCAUUACUUUA